GACGAACGCUGGCGGCGUGCUUAACACAUGCAAGUCGAACGGUGAACGAGGGAGCUUGCUCCCUCCGGAUCAGUGGCGAACGGGUGAGUAACACGUGAGCAAUCUGCCCCUAACUCUGGGAUAAGCUUUGGAGACGACGUCUAAUACCGGAUACUACCCGGGAGGGCAUCCUCUCCUCGUGGAAGGAACUUCUGUUCGGGAUGAUCUCGCGGCCUAUCCGCUUUUUGGUGAGGUAACGGCUCACCAAGGCGCCGACGGGUAGCCGGCCUGAGAGGGUGACAGGCCACAAUGGGACUGAGAGACGGCCCAGAGUCCUACGGGAGGCAGCAGUGGGGAAUAUUGCACAAUGGGCGCAAGCCUGAUGCAGCAACGCCGCGUGAGGGAAGACGGCCUUCGGGUUGUAAACCUCUUUUAGCAGGGAAGAAGCGAAAGUGACGGUACCUGCAGAAAAAGCACCGGCUAACUACGUG
Molecule: ribosomal RNA, 470 nt
Filed under: uncultured bacterium
Lineage: Bacteria
Description: partial 16S ribosomal RNA
Rfam family: Bacterial small subunit ribosomal RNA
Source: RNAcentral